AGUGAACGCUGGCGGUAGGCCUAACACAUGCAAGUCGAACGGCAGCACAGUAAGAGCUUGCUCUUACGGGUGGCGAGUGGCGGACGGGUGAGGAAUACAUCGGAAUCUACUUUUUCGUGGGGGAUAACGUAGGGAAACUUACGCUAAUACCGCAUACGACCUACGGGUGAAAGCAGGGGAUCUUCGGACCUUGCGCGAUUGAAUGAGCCGAUGUCGGAUUAGCUAGUUGGCGGGGUAAAGGCCCACCAAGGCGCCGAUCCGUAGCUGGUCUGAGAGGAUGAUCAGCCACACUGGAACGUAGACACGGUCCAGACUCCUACGGGAGGCAGCAGUGGGGAAUAUUGGACAAUGGGCGCAAGCCUGAUCCAGCCAGACCGCGUGGGUGAAGAAGGCCUUCGGGUUGUAAAGCCCUUUUGUUGGGAAAGAAAAGCAGCAGGUUAAUACCCCGCUGUUCUGACGGUACCCAAAGAAUAAGCACCGGCUAACUUCGUG
RNAcentral lists this ribosomal RNA (492 nucleotides) under uncultured bacterium. Its description in RNAcentral is "partial 16S ribosomal RNA". It matches the Rfam family "Bacterial small subunit ribosomal RNA", at positions 29 to 507 of the family's 1533-position model. The record is from RNAcentral.